UGGGGAAUAUUGGACAAUGGGCGCAAGCCUGAUCCAGCCAUGCCGCGUGAGUGAUGACGGCCUUAGGGUUGUAAAGCUCUUUCGCGCACGACGAUAAUGACGGUAGUGCGAGAAGAAGCCCCGGCUAACUUCGUGCCAGCAGCCGCGGUAAUACGAAGGGGGCUAGCGUUGUUCGGAUUAACUGGGCGUAAAGGGCGCGUAGGCGGGUCUUUAAGUCAGGGGUGAAAUCCCAAGGCUCAACCUUGGAACUGCCUUUGAUACUGGAGAUCUUGAGUCCGGGAGAGGUGAGUGGAACUGCGAGUGUAGAGGUGAAAUUCGUAGAUAUUCGCAAGAACACCAGUGGCGAAGGCGGCUCACUGGCCCGGAACUGACGCUGAGGCGCGAAAGCGUGGGGAGCAAACAGGAUUAGAUACCCCCGUAGUCC
Molecule: ribosomal RNA, 424 nt
Filed under: uncultured bacterium
Lineage: Bacteria
Description: bacterial SSU rRNA
Rfam family: Bacterial small subunit ribosomal RNA
Source: RNAcentral